CCUACGGGGGGCAGCAGUGAGGAAUAUUGGUCAAUGGGCGGAAGCCUGAACCAGCCAAGUCGCGUGCGGGAUGAAGGCCCUACGGGUCGUAAACCGCUUUUGCACGGGGAUAACACCCUGCACUUGUGGACGUCUGCAUGUACCGUGCGAAUAAGGGCCGGCUAAUUCCGUGCCAGCAGCCGCGGUAAUACGGAAGGCCCGAGCGUUAUCCGGAUUCAUUGGGGUUAAAGGGAGCGUAGGCGGGCGUUCAAGUCAGCUGGAAAAUCGCGCGGCCAAACCGCGCCCCGCAGUUGAAACUGGAAGCCUGGAGUACAGAAGAGGCAGGCGGAAUUCGUGGUGUAGCGGUGAAAUGCAUAGAUAUCACGAGGAACCCCGAUUGCGAAGGCAGCCUGCCGGGGUGCGACUGACGUUGAGGCUCGAAGGUGCGGGUAUCAAACAGGAUUAGAUACCCUUGUAGUC
Molecule: ribosomal RNA, 459 nt
Filed under: uncultured bacterium
Lineage: Bacteria
Description: partial 16S ribosomal RNA
Rfam family: Bacterial small subunit ribosomal RNA
Source: RNAcentral